UACGUAGGGUGCAAGCGUUAAUCGGAAUUACUGGGCGUAAAGCGUGCGCAGGCGGUUUUGUAAGUCUGUCGUGAAAGCCCCGGGCUCAACCUGGGAAUUGCGAUGGAGACUGCAAGGCUUGAAUCUGGCAGAGGGGGGUAGAAUUCCACGUGUAGCAGUGAAAUGCGUAGAGAGGUGGAGGAACACCGAUGGCGAAGGCAGCCCCCUGUGUCAAGAUUGACGCUCAUGCACGAAAGCGUGGGGAGCAAACAGG
RNAcentral lists this ribosomal RNA (253 nucleotides) under uncultured bacterium. RNAcentral's name for it is "partial 16S ribosomal RNA". It matches the Rfam family "Bacterial small subunit ribosomal RNA", at positions 524 to 776 of the family's 1533-position model. The record is from RNAcentral.